AUUCCAGCUCCAAUAGCGUAUAUUAAUGUUGUUGCAGUUAAAAAGCUCGUAGUUGAAUUUCUGGUUAAAAUCUUAGCUGGCUUUGGUCGUUAAUGUUUUAAUCAUCCGUUAGAGAACUAUAACCGUCCUUAACUGGUCAUUAUAGAGAUCUAACAUUUUACUUUGAAAAAAUUAGAGUGUUCAAGGCAGGCAAUCGUCAUGAAUACUAUAGCAUGGAAUAAUGGAAUAGGACUUUGGUUCAUUUUAUUGGUUAUUGAACCUGAGUAAUGAUUAACAGGGACAGUCAGGGGCACUCGUAUUCCGCCGAGAGAGGUGAAAUUCUCAGACCAGCGGAAGACGAACCACUGCGAAAGCAUUUGCCAGGGAUGUUUUCAUUA
This 377-nucleotide ribosomal RNA is filed under the name Prostomatea sp. RNAcentral describes it as "partial small subunit ribosomal RNA". It matches the Rfam family "Eukaryotic small subunit ribosomal RNA", at positions 582 to 975 of the family's 1831-position model. The record is from RNAcentral. Lineage: Eukaryota; Ciliophora; Prostomatea.